UGCCUUGUUUCAGCCCUUAUCGUUUUAACAGUACCACUGGAACUUGCGAAUUGAACUUGAUUGGAUUGUUACUGUCAUUUAGAGUUUUAAAUAAUAGAUUAGGAGCCGUUGUUGCAGAAAAAACACGCAAGAACAAUGAGAUUAUUUUUCAAGGAGUGAUUAAUGCGGGCAAAGUUUUUGCGGGAUUUGCAAGCGUGUGUUUAUUUUUAGGAUGCUUUUAUUGUUAUUGGGUGCAAUAUUCGAAUCAUCAAUUGAGGAGAAGCUUGAAAUUAAUAGAAAAAGAGAUGCAAGUACAACAAAAAGACAGAAAUAAGCAUAAAGAUGGAAGAAAAGAAAAUAAAGAAAGUGGAAAAAUAGCCAGAUGUAAAACCAUGCCCGAAGAAGUCCAAAUCUCCAUUGUUUA
Long non-coding RNA from Cydia amplana, 403 nucleotides. RefSeq lists it as uncharacterized. Lineage: Eukaryota; Metazoa; Arthropoda; Insecta; Lepidoptera; Tortricidae. The transcript is spliced from 3 exons. The record is from RefSeq and is a predicted model, not a curated record.